GAUGAACGCUGGCGGCGUGCCUAAUACAUGCAAGUCGAGCGAACAGACGAGGAGCUUGCUCCUCUGACGUUAGCGGCGGACGGGUGAGUAACACGUGGAUAACCUACCUAUAAGACUAGGAUAACUUCGGGAAACCGGAGCUAAUACCGGAUAAUAUAUUGAACCGCAUGGUUCAAUAGUGAAAGACGGUUUUGCUGUCACUUAUAGAUGGAUCCGCGCCGCAUUAGCUAGUUGGUAAGGUAACGGCUUACCAAGGCAGCGAUGCGUAGCUGACCUGAGAGGAGGGUCAGCAACAUUGGAGCUGAGACACGGUCCAGGCUCCUACGGGAGGCCGCAGUGGGGAAUAUUGGACAAUGGGCGCAAGCCUGAUCCAGCCAUACCGCGUGGGUGAAGAAGGCCUUCGGGUUUUAAAGCUCUUUUGUUGGGAAAGAAAAGCAGCAGGUUAAUACCCCGCUGUUCUGACGGUACCAAAAGAAUAAGCACCGGCUAACUUCGUG
RNAcentral lists this ribosomal RNA (497 nucleotides) under uncultured bacterium. Its description in RNAcentral is "partial 16S ribosomal RNA". It matches the Rfam family "Bacterial small subunit ribosomal RNA", at positions 28 to 507 of the family's 1533-position model. The record is from RNAcentral.